UCUUGUUAAUUUUUAAGCAGUUAUGAGGCAGAUUGGCAAAACCUUAAACUUCUGCUGCGCAAGUUAGUCAAAAGGCUGUUGCUAGGAAACCACAAGUUACUCAAGUAACAAAAGAGUGUGUGAGUUAGUCAAUGUCAUCAACUUUGCUUAUCUGACUGAGAGAAGUUGAGCAGCAAAAGCCUUUCCUCUGUCUACAUCCCCCAGAAUGCUGUGCAGUUCAGUGAAAUGACUGAAUAUUCUAUCAGACGUAUUACCUGCUGACAUUGAUCAUGUGUCCGUAUCAAUUUUCAUUGUUAUUGAUUUAUUGCCCAGCCCUAUCCAGGAGCACAUCUGCUUUGUGUUGGUUAUUAUCCUACUGAAAGAGCCCACAACCAAGCAGAAUAUUACAUAUUUCUUUUUUUUUUUCUACAUUCUCGUCUCAGACAGAUUCAUGGAAAACAGAGAAUUUUUAUACAGGGAACUGAUAAUUUCCAAAAUACCCUUUUUACGAGCGACAUGACAAGUUCAAGUGGGCAUUUUGGUCUACUGGGACACAGCUGCUGGGGAAUUUGCCAUGAACAGUCCUGGCUGCAAGCCUGGCUGGAGCUGGCUCACACAGCUGCAGAAGAAACACUGGCACCUGCACGCCUGUGUGUGCUGUUUCUCUGGAAAACAGACUAGGGAAACAUAUGCCCCUUCUCCCAGCGGCAGGUCCCACAGCUGCAAGGGGAAGGAAGCAGGCAGUGGUGUCCACUGCGUCCGAAGGGCACACAAACUGGGGAAAAACUCUGCGCGUCAACCAACAAAAGCUCUCUGGAGAGGUCUCUGGCCGGCGCCGAGACCUCCCCUCAUUUUGCUCCGGUCAGCAGGACUCCUCCAGCAAUGUGUGGCUGGCUGCGAGUCAGCAAGGCCAAAGCAAUUCCAGCAGCACCUCACUUAAAAUAAACUAAGUGCAAAUGCGAUAACUUGUUAUGUGAAAAGCCCAUUAACCUUGUUCUCAGUGAAUUAGAGUUAG
Molecule: non-coding RNA, 994 nt
Organism: Poecilia reticulata (guppy)
Lineage: Eukaryota; Metazoa; Chordata; Actinopteri; Cyprinodontiformes; Poeciliidae
Source: RefSeq, a predicted model, not a curated record